UCCCUGGUUGUCCAGUGGUUAAGACUUUGUACUCCCAACUCAGGGGGCCUGGGUUCGAUCCCUGGUCAGGGAA
Molecule: transfer RNA, 73 nt
Organism: Ovis aries (sheep)
Lineage: Eukaryota; Metazoa; Chordata; Mammalia; Artiodactyla; Bovidae
Rfam family: tRNA
About the family: Transfer RNA (tRNA) molecules are approximately 80 nucleotides in length. Their secondary structure includes four short double-helical elements and three loops (D, anti-codon, and T loops). Further hydrogen bonds mediate the characteristic L-shaped molecular structure. tRNAs have two regions of fundamental functional importance: the anti-codon, which is responsible for specific mRNA codon recognition, and the 3' end, to which the tRNAs corresponding amino acid is attached (by aminoacyl-tRNA synthetases). tRNAs cope with the degeneracy of the genetic code in two manners: having more than one tRNA (with a specific anti-codon) for a particular amino acid; and 'wobble' base-pairing, i.e. permitting non-standard base-pairing at the 3rd anti-codon position.
Source: Rfam